Molecule: ribosomal RNA, 468 nt
Filed under: uncultured bacterium
Lineage: Bacteria
Description: partial 16S ribosomal RNA
Rfam family: Bacterial small subunit ribosomal RNA
Source: RNAcentral
GACGAACGCUGGCGGCGUGCUUAACACAUGCAAGUCGAACGGAAAGGCCCUGCUUUUGUGGGGUGCUCGAGUGGCGAACGGGUGAGUAACACGUGAGUAACCUGCCCUUGACUUUGGGAUAACUUCAGGAAACUGGGGCUAAUGCCGGAUAGGAGCUCCUGCUGCAUGGUGGGGGUUGGAAAGUUUCGGCGGUUGGGGAUGGACUCGCGGCUUAUCAGCUUGUUGGUGGGGUAGUGGCUUACCAAGGCUUUGACGGGUAGCCGGCCUGAGAGGGUGACCGGCCACAUUGGGACUGAGAUACGGCCCGGCCUCCUACGGGAGGCAGCAGUGGGGAAUAUUGCACAAUGGGCGGAAGCCUGAUGCAGCAACGCCGCGUGCGGGAUGACGGCCUUCGGGUUGUAAACCGCUUUCGCCUGUGACGAAGCGUGAGUGACGGUAAUGGGUAAAGAAGCACCGGCUAACUACGUG